Molecule: non-coding RNA, 531 nt
Organism: Pelobates cultripes (western spadefoot toad)
Lineage: Eukaryota; Metazoa; Chordata; Amphibia; Anura; Pelobatidae
Source: the annotation of a GenBank genome assembly
CUUUCCUUGAAAAGAAAAAAACAAAACAAAAAAACACAAAACAAAAAGAAGUCUGCCCCUACCUUAUUUAAAUAAAAUAUUCACAUUCUUCUUAGAAUGGUAAUGUAUCUCCCCAUUAUUUUUUGCCUACAUAGUUUCAUUUGCCCUUUCAAAGUGCCCAUGCACGUCUAAGUUCGAUGCAAAUUGCGCGUAUGCGUGUUGCACUUUCACACAUCAUUAACCUACUUGUAAAGCUUAACCUCCCACCUGGUCACCUGUCCUCUCAGUAAGGGCCUGACACUGUCUCAGAUACCUAUCUCUCCUUAACACACCUGUCUGUAGCCCUGCUGCUAUUACACCUCUUGGUUGCCCUGACUGCUUGAGAAGACACAGGAGAGGGAUCAUGUGGCAACAAUACCGGAGAUGUACUUUAAUAGGGAGGAAGGGAGCUCGGGUGUAGGGUGUCUAGAUAAAGGCGGAGGGAGAGCUGGGCUUCUUGCAUGUGGGAUAUUUUACCUGAGCUUAUUGUCCUGCUCAUUUGCUCAACUGCCU